GAGUGGCGAACGGGUGAGUAACACGUGGGUAACCUGCCCAUCAGAAGGGGAUAACACUUGGAAACAGGUGCUAAUACCGUAUAACACUAUUUUCCGCAUGGAAGAAAGUUGAAAGGCGCUUUUGCGUCACUGAUGGAUGGACCCGCGGUGCAUUAGCUAGUUGGUGAGGUAACGGCUCACCAAGGCCACGAUGCAUAGCCGACCUGAGAGGGUGAUCGGCCACACUGGGACUGAGACACGGCCCAGACUCCUACGGGAGGCAGCAGUAGGGAAUCUUCGGCAAUGGACGAAAGUCUGACCGAGCAACGCCGCGUGAGUGAAGAAGGUUUUCGGAUCGUAAAACUCUGUUGUUAGAGAAGAACAAGGAUGAGAGUAGAACGUUCAUCCCUUGACGGUAUCUAACCAGAAAGCCACGGCUAACUACGUGCCAGCAGCCGCGGUAAUACGUAGGUGGCAAGCGUUGUCCGGAUUUAUUGGGCGUAAAGCGAGCGCAGGCGGUUUCUUAAGUCUGAUGUGAAAGCCCCCGGCUCAACCGGGGAGGGUCAUUGGAAACUGGGAGACUUGAGUGCAGAAGAGGAGAGUGGAAUUCCAUGUGUAGCGGUGAAAUGCGUAGAUAUAUGGAGGAACACCAGUGGCGAAGGCGGCUCUCUGGUCUGUAACUGACGCUGAGGCUCGAAAGCGUGGGGAGCGAACAGGAUUAGAUACCCUGGUAGUCCACGCCGUAAACGAUGAGUGCUAAGUGUU
This 744-nucleotide ribosomal RNA is filed under the name uncultured bacterium. Its description in RNAcentral is "bacterial SSU rRNA". It matches the Rfam family "Bacterial small subunit ribosomal RNA", at positions 93 to 824 of the family's 1533-position model. The record is from RNAcentral.